Molecule: long non-coding RNA, 1370 nt
Filed under: Capsicum annuum
Lineage: Eukaryota; Viridiplantae; Streptophyta; Magnoliopsida; Solanales; Solanaceae
Description: long non-coding RNA (CANN_LNC008616)
Source: RNAcentral
UUUAUUUCUUUUUUAAAAAAAUUAUAAUUUUUUUAAAUAAUCAGUUUUUUGUUUUUAUUUUUCAAAUAAUUUUAUAAUUAUUUUUUCAUAAUUUAUAUCCUCGCCAUUUUUUAUUUUCAUUUUUUAAAAAAAUUUAUAAUUCUUCUUAAUAAUUAUUUUUUAAAAAAAAUAUUUUUUUAAUAAUUUAUUUCUUUUUUAAAAAAAUUAUAAUUUUUUUAAAUAAUCAGUUUUUUUUAUUUUUUAAAUAAUUUUAGAAUUAUCUUUUAAUAAUUUCCUCAAUGUCAUUUGUAUAUACUUUUAAAAAAAUAAAUAUAAUUAAUUUUUAAUAAUUAUUGGAUCCACAAUGCCACAUGUCAGCUUCCAAUUAGCUCAUUUUGCCACGUCAUCGCGUGUGUGCAACACACACUUUGAGUUUUUUGCUGAUAGGGCAAAAAAGACUCACUUGGAACAAAAUGUAGGGGGUUUAGAGGCCUGAUAGGAACAGACAUUAGUUUAGGUUUCUAAGUGAAUUUUGGCAACAAGUUUGAGUGUCUAUCGAUGGCUUUCAACUUUUUGCUUCUUUCCUCUUGGGUUAUGCUUCUUUGAAAAACAGCCACAAUGCUCAUUUCUAUUUUACUUGCAAACUAAUCAGUCCAACAUUUGUUCAUGUGUGAUAUGACUGGCUUUUAUGUCAUUUUGGUGUAUUUUUUUUUUUUAUGUUUCAUCAAAACCCACUCGUGUAGAAACCAAUCCACACGAAAUGCAUAUUGAUCAAUUUUUGAACUUUGCAAAUUAUGUGUUCCGAAAUGAUUCUAAUUCCUUACCUUUGUUUCGUUUGACAUGUGAAAUCCGGGUUGAGUCCACUAUUGGACUCCAUUUUCCCUUGCGUCCUCGAGUUGGUUCAAAACUCAACAAAGUUCCUCUCGAGUCAAGCCCUAACGCAGCAGCUCAAAUGUGCUAAAAUGUGAAGAAACAGGCAGAUAUACACUCAUAUACUCCAAAAUACAGCAGGUGUACGAAAUCAGUACCUACACAUGGUCGGGUGGUGUAUAUAAAAAAAUAAAACAAAAUACGCAGGUUUCUACACUGGUAUAUCAUGUAUACACAGUAAUAUACAGAAAAAAUGCAGGAAAAAGGAGCUGUAACAUACAACCAGUAUACACAGAGCUGAAAGGACUGAAAAUCCACAAAAAUAAGCCCAAAAAACUGGGCAGAUUCUAAUGGGCUUAAAUCAUAAACCUUUCUUCUUUAAUUUAUUUGUAAGUUCAUAUUUGAUUAUUUGUUGUAUUAAAUUCUUAAAUUUGAUUAACCUUAAUAAAUCUCCUCUUUGAAUUGUUAUUUUUGUUUAUCUCUGUAUUUUUUCUUUGAGUACUGUUUAUCACAUAGUACAA